This 1632-nucleotide long non-coding RNA is filed under the name Solanum lycopersicum (tomato). Its description in RNAcentral is "partial TCONS_00098487". The record is from RNAcentral. Lineage: Eukaryota; Viridiplantae; Streptophyta; Magnoliopsida; Solanales; Solanaceae.
CCUGAGUGUAGGUUAUACAAGUAGAUGUUGUGUCAAAAAAUAAGGUCUAAUUUGCAUAUCAGACGGGCUGUUAAUCGUAAUGUUCUGUAACACUCAAGUUAUCAACAAGCUCUUAAAGAAACCCUUGUGAUCCAAUGGGACUGGAGUAAGCACCACAUCGCUGAUCUGAACCAUAGUAGGAAGCUGACUGAAGGAAAUUUUAUCAUUAGUCUUCAUCUAAGACUAUGUAGAUCCUCAUCCUCCCCAGAGUAGAGAGUGAGUCACAAUGGGUUAAAUAGUUGGGUUUCUAUACAAAUCGGAUGUUUAAAAUUAGGAAUAAGCUUUAAAAUUAGGAAUAAGCUAUGUGAUUCCGAACAUGUCAUAUGUCCAAUAAAUUUAAGGACGAAUUUAUACUCCCUCCGCUUCAAAAAAAAAUUACCCUAUUUCCUUUUUAGUUUGUUCCAAAAAGAAUGAUUCUUUACUUUUUUGGCAACACAUUAACUUUAACUUUUCACGUGGCAUGUUUAAAACCACAAGAUUAAAAGGUAUUUGAUAUAUUUGACAUAACUUUAAAUUAGAACCACGAGAUUAAAAUGUCUUCUUUCUGUUCUUAAACUCCGUUUCAGAUCAAACUAGGUCAAUCAUUUUGAAAUGGAGAAAAUCUUAAACUAUAAUGAGAGUUUAUUUGAAUCCGAAACUUAUUUUGACAAUAAAUAUAAACAACAAUAUAUUUACAUUAUUUUGUAAUAAUACGAAACAUACCCUUUUUGGAUUCCAAAUAUUAUAGUGCUGGUUGGCACUUCAAGAAUAUUAGGCUAAUCUAAACUUACACGGCCCUGAGGGAGACUCAUAAUUUAGGCGUCGAGAAAAAAAGGAUCUAAAGUAGCUUUUAGCAAAGUGAAAUAAUUUCCAUUCACUUAAAGUAAAGAAUCCAAUACCCAACCCCUCCUUUUAAAUAUUUUCAACAACAUAUUUUCAUUCUACUCUAAACUAACAUCAGAAAGAUUUUCCUGCAGCUGCCUGUUAAGAACUUUGUAACGUAGCAACAACAAUGGCCAAUGUUAGUACCUUAAAACCAUUGGUGCAGUAACAGGUUUCAGAUUUCCCGGUUUCUCUCAUUUGAUCAAAUUUCCAAUGUUCUGAAAUUUAUUUUUCAUCUGUACAUUAGGUGGUUGAGCUUAAAGUUGGUUUGCACUGCGACGAAUGCAUCAAGAAAAUCUUGAAGACGAUCAAGAAAAUUGAAGAUAUUGAAACAUAUGAUGUGGAUAAACAACUAAACAAGGUAACAGUAACUGGAAAUGUGACUAAUGAAGAGGUGAUCAAAGUUCUUCACAAGAUCGGGAAACAAGCAAGCAACUGGGAUCAACAAUCAAGUUGCUAAUCGAAUAAGCCCAGAGUGCGCAAUACCAUCUUGCAAUUUUAUAUUAGUAUAUAAUAUGUCCUGAUUUUAUCAAUUUUAUACUACUAAACAAUAUUUUCCAAGUAUUUCUACAUUACAGAACAAUUAGAUCUAAUGCAUAUUUUUCUGUUCUGGCAUUUAUUGAAAACGCAAUUUACAAGAGAAAACAAGUUUUGAUGCUAAAAUUGAACCUCAAAAGGUUCAAGGAAAAGUUCAAACAAGAUAUUGACGAUUAAAAGGGGAACAGAAAAAGU